CCUUGUUCUGGCCUCUGGACAAGGAAAGAAAGUCUCUGUUCAUUCUUGUUUAUACUUCCUAAACUAGUGCAGGAUGGAUAGGGAAAUAAGAGGUUGAGGGGAAUUUUCCCUUGAGCAGGGUCCUUGUUCUUGUAGUGUGGGGAAGGUCUGCACAGCUGACCCUGCUUAGUUAGCUCCUCCAAGUCUCACUUUCCAGCCUUCUCUUGGGCAACUCAGCACCAAAGUUUUUCUCCUCUUGGCCAGAGGUCAGUCAGCAGCUGUUCUGUGGGUGCAUGACUGCAGGUGGAACCUUACUUACCUUGUGCUGCACUGUGAUAGCAUCUCGUCUCCUGGAGUGACUUUUUAAGCAGCCUCCUGAGCCUAAUCAGUAGCACCUGGGAGGGUGGGAACAGCGGCAUCCCCUAAUUGCAAGAUACAUUCCACUUCUGUUCUGCUACCCUCCCUUCCCUUGGGUGCUGCUAUCCCUUUGUGCCUGAGCAAAUGGGAAAAGCAGUCGCUGAGCUCAGUACCCCAACUCUUCCCUGCUCCAGUCCUGCUCUGGGUUCCUGGUAAAGACUCAGGCCUAGCAAAUCACUAUUCUGUCUACCUUAAUUCUUUUCUCUACCCUGUCUCUUACUUAGCUCUUGGUCCAGCCGAGACCUGGGAUAGUGCUUUCCCACUGCACUUUUCUUGGUGUCAAUGUAGCCCCUGUGGAUUGCAGGUGGCUUGCCUGGUGAGGGGUAGCCUGCUUCCCUGCACCUUUUCUUCCAUGACUCCCAGCUAGUUCUGGCCUGGAGAUUGCACCUCUUUCUCUGGCUCAAACAAGAGCCAGGUCUUGAGCCCCAAGUGCCUGCUCCUGGUCUUUUCGCCCUUUCCUCCCUGUGACCCAUCCAUCACCUGCCAGCUAGACAAAAGCUAGCCCUAUGUAUGGCAGGUGGGUCAGGACCCCUGUCCUGUCCCUUUUCAGUCUCUCUUCUGGGGUGCAGGCUCACCAGAAGGUCUGGGGCAUCUGAUCUCAGGUGCCUCCAGGUGCGUUAAAGCUGUUCACAUUCUAGAAGUUUGUCCUUUUGUGGGGUGGGGCUGGUGAGGACUAGCCUGGCCUCAGUUCUCUGCUUAGAGCUCAGCUCCCUGUCAGGGAAGGGAGUCAGCAGGACAGAUCAUAGUGCCUUAUUCCAUUGUCUUCCCUGUCC
This 1169-nucleotide long non-coding RNA is filed under the name Rattus norvegicus (Norway rat). Its description in RNAcentral is "long non-coding RNA NONRATT019673". Lineage: Eukaryota; Metazoa; Chordata; Mammalia; Rodentia; Muridae. The record is from RNAcentral.